This 253-nucleotide ribosomal RNA is filed under the name uncultured bacterium. RNAcentral's name for it is "partial 16S ribosomal RNA". It matches the Rfam family "Bacterial small subunit ribosomal RNA", at positions 524 to 776 of the family's 1533-position model. The record is from RNAcentral.
UACGGAGGAUGCAAGUGUUAUCCGGAAUCACUGGGCGUAAAGCGUCUGUAGGUGGUUUGCUAAGUCCGCUGUUAAAGCUUGAAGCUCAACUUCAAAAAUGCAGCGGAAACUAGUAGACUUGAGUGUGGUAGGGGUAGAGGGAAUUUCCAGUGAAGUGGUGAAAUGCGUAGAUAUUGGAAAGACCACCAAUGGCGAAGGCACUCUACUGGGCCACAACUGACACUGAGAGACGAAAGCUAGGGGAGCAAAUGGG